Molecule: non-coding RNA, 30 nt
Filed under: Mus musculus (house mouse)
Lineage: Eukaryota; Metazoa; Chordata; Mammalia; Rodentia; Muridae
Source: RNAcentral
UACUCAACCAGUGCCAUAUAUGCCUUGACA